This 373-nucleotide ribosomal RNA is filed under the name uncultured bacterium. RNAcentral describes it as "bacterial SSU rRNA". It matches the Rfam family "Bacterial small subunit ribosomal RNA", at positions 521 to 896 of the family's 1533-position model. The record is from RNAcentral.
UAAGACGAAGGAUGCAAGCGUUAUCCGGAUUCAUUGGGUUUAAAGGGAGCGUAGGUGGCCUUAUAAGUCAGUGGUGAAAUCUCGAGGCUUAACCUCGAAAUUGCCAUUGAUACUGUAGGGCUUGAGUACAGUUGCUGUGGGCGGAAUAUGACAUGUAGUGGUGAAAUACAUAGAGAUGUCAUAGAACACCGAUUGCGAAGGCAGCUCACAAAACUGUAACUGACACUGAGGCUCGAAAGUGCGGGGAUCAAACAGGAUUAGAUACCCUGGUAGUCCGCACUGUAAACGAUGAUUACUCGCUGCUAGAUGGCAACAUUUAGUGGCUUAGCGAAAGCGAUAAGUAAUCCACCUGGGGAGUACGCCGGCAACGGUG